This 496-nucleotide ribosomal RNA is filed under the name uncultured bacterium. RNAcentral's name for it is "bacterial SSU rRNA". It matches the Rfam family "Bacterial small subunit ribosomal RNA", at positions 28 to 517 of the family's 1533-position model. The record is from RNAcentral.
GAUGAACGCUAGCUACAGGCUUAACACAUGCAAGUCGAGGGGCAGCACAGUGUAGCAAUACAUGGGUGGCGACCGGCGCACGGGUGCGUAACGCGUAUCCAACCUUCCCGUUACUCUUGGAUAGCCUUCCGAAAGGGAGAUUAAUACAAGAUGGUAUUCAAAUUCCGCAUGUUAUUUGAAUUAAAGAUUUAUCGGUAACGGAUGGGGAUGCGUGACAUUAGAUAGUAGGCGGGGUAACGGCCCACCUAGUCUACGAUGUCUAGGGGUUCUGAGAGGAAGGUCCCCCCACACUGGAACUGAGACACGGUCCAGACUCCUACGGGAGGCAGCAGUGAGGAAUAUUGGUCAAUGGUCUAACGACUGAACCAGCCAUGCCGCGUGAAGGUCACGGCCCUAUGGGUCUUAAACUUCUUUUGUAAGGGAGCAAUAAGGUGCACGUGUGCAUCGAUGAGAGUACCUUACGAAUAAGCAUCGGCUAACUCCGUGCCAGCAGCCG